RNAcentral lists this ribosomal RNA (1814 nucleotides) under Dolichospermum sp. UHCC 0352. RNAcentral describes it as "partial 23S ribosomal RNA". It matches the Rfam family "Bacterial large subunit ribosomal RNA", at positions 1 to 1904 of the family's 2925-position model. Lineage: Bacteria; Bacillati; Cyanobacteriota; Cyanophyceae; Nostocales; Aphanizomenonaceae. The record is from RNAcentral.
AUGUGGUCAAGUUAAUAAGGGCUAAUGGUGGAUACCUAGGCACACAGAGGCGAUGAAGGACGUGGUUACCGACGAAAUGUUCCGGGGAGUUGGAAGCAAACUUUGAGCCGGAAAUGUCCGAAUGGGGCAACCCUAUGUACUACCUGUUGAAUAUAUAGACAGGAAAGAGCCAACCCAGCGAACUGAAACAUCUUAGUAGCUGGAGGAAGAGAAAUCAAACUAGAGAUUCCCUCAGUAGUGGUGAGCGAAAGGGGAAGAGCCUAAACCAGAGGAUUUAUCUUCUGGGGUCGUGGGACAGCGAGAUCGAAUCUAGAGACUAAACGAAACAGCUAAAUACUGUACCAGAGGGGGUGAAAGUCCCGUAGUUGAAAGUCAAAGGAUAGUAGCUGAAUCCCGAGUAGCAUGGAGCACGAGGAAUUCCAUGUGAAUCAGCGAGGACCACCUCGUAAGGCUAAAUACUACUGUGUGACCGAUAGUGAACAAGUACCGCGAGGGAAAGGUGAAAAGAACCCCGGAAGGGGAGUGAAAUAGAACAUGAAACCAUAAGCUUACAAGCAGUGGGAGUCCGAUUUAACGGAUGACCGCGUGCCUGUUGAAGAAUGAGCCGGCGACUUAUAGGCACUGGUAGGUUAAAGCGAGAAUGCUGGAGCCAAAGGGAAACCGAGUCUGAACAGGGCGAUAAAUCAGUGUUUAUAGACCCGAACCCUGGUGAUCUAACCAUGUCCAGGAUGAAGCUUGGGUAACACCAAGUGGAGGUCCGAACCGACUGAUGUUGAAAAAUCAGCGGAUGAGGUGUGGUUAGGGGUGAAAUACCAAUCGAACCAGGAGCUAGCUGGUUCUCCCCGAAAUGUGUUGAGGCGCAGCGGUAAUGGUUAAAUUUGGGGGGUAAAGCACUGUUUCGGUGCGGGCUGGGAGACCGGUACCAAAUCGAGACAAACUCAGAAUACCCAGAAGAAGACAUUGCCAGUGAGACAGUGGGGGAUAAGCUUCAUUGUCAAGAGGGAAACAGCCCAGACCACCAGCUAAGGUCCCCAAAUCAUCGCUAAGUGAUAAAGGAGGUGAGAUUGCCUAGACAACUAGGAGGUUUGCCUAGAAGCAGCCACCCUUGAAAGAGUGCGUAAUAGCUCACUAGUCAAGCGAUCUUGCGCCGAAAAUGAACGGGGCUAAGCGAUGUACCGAAGCUGUGGGAUUGAUAUUAAAUUAUUAAUCGGUAGGGGAGCGUUCCGUCGUAGGUUGAAGCAGUAGCGGCGAGCAGCUGUGGACGAAACGGAAGUGAGAAUGUCGGCUUGAGUAGCGCAAAUGUAUGUGAGAAUCAUACACCCCGAAACCCUAAGGGUUCCAGAGCCAGGUUCGUCCACUCUGGGUUAGUCGGGACCUAAGGCGAGGCCGAAGGGCGUAGUCGAUGGACAAAGUGUCAAUAGUCACUUACUGUUCUGUGGGAGCAUAGAGAGGGACGCAUCAAAGAUAGCCAUACCCUGAUUGGUUUGGGAGGAGUUUACGAACUCCGAGUGGUGAAGGAUAGUGCCAAGAAAAGCUCGCUAUGUGAUGAAGAUAGAACACCCGUACCCGAAACCGACACAGGUAGGGAGGUUGAGAAUACCAAGGGGCGCGAGAUAACUCUCUCUAAGGAACUCGGCAAAAUGGCCCCGUAACUUCGGGAGAAGGGGUGCCCACCUCAGACGUGGGUCGCAGUGAAGAGAUCCAGGCGACUGUUUACCAAAAACACAGGUCUCCGCCAACUCGCAAGAGGACGUAUGGGGGCUGACGCCUGCCCAGUGCCGGAAGGUUAAGGAAGCUGGUCAGCGAAAGUAAAG